This 493-nucleotide ribosomal RNA is filed under the name uncultured bacterium. Its description in RNAcentral is "partial 16S ribosomal RNA". It matches the Rfam family "Bacterial small subunit ribosomal RNA", at positions 29 to 507 of the family's 1533-position model. The record is from RNAcentral.
ACGAACGCUGGCGGCGCGCUUAACACAUGCAAGUCGAACGGAGAGGCCUGCUUUCCCUUGUGGAUUGCGGGUACUCGAGUGGCGAACGGGUGAGUAACACGUGAGUGAUCUGCCCCCAACUUGGGUAUAAGCCUGGGAAACUGGGUCUAAUUCCCGAUAGGACUGCAGGGUGGUGCCUGUGGUGGAAAACGAUUUUCUAGUGGUUGGGGAUGAGCUCGCGGCCUAUCAGCUUGUUGGUGGGGUAAUGGCCUACCAAGGCGGCGACGGGUAGCCGGCCUGAGAGGGUGGACGGCCACAGUGGGACUGAGAUACGGCCCAGACUCCUACGGGAGGCAGCAGUGGGGAAUAUUGCACAAUGGGCGGAAGCCUGAUGCAGCGACGCCGCGUGGGGGAUGACGGCCUUCGGGUUGUAAACUCCUUUCGACCGCGAGGAAGCCACCUGGUUGGAAGGGUGGUGACGGUAGUGGUAGAAGAAGCACCGGCUAACUACGUG